GACGAACGCUGGCGGCGUGCUUAACACAUGCAAGUCGAACGGUGAAGCCUUCGGGUGGAUCAGUGGCGAACGGGUGAGUAACACGUGAGCAAUCUGCCCUUGACUCUGGGAUAACUUCGGGAAACCGGAGCUAAUACCGGAUAUGACAUCUGGCCGCAUGGUCUGGGUGUGGAAAGAUUUAUCGGUCAGGGAUGAGCUCGCGGCCUAUCAGCUUGUUGGGGGUAAUGGCCCACCAAGGCGACGACGGUAGCUGGUCUGAGAGGAUGGCCAGCCACAUUGGGACUGAGAGACGGCCCAGACUCCUACGGGAGGCAGCAGUGGGAAAUCUUGCGCAAUGGCCGAAAGGCUGACGCAGCGACGCCGCGUGU
Molecule: ribosomal RNA, 368 nt
Filed under: uncultured bacterium
Lineage: Bacteria
Description: bacterial SSU rRNA
Rfam family: Bacterial small subunit ribosomal RNA
Source: RNAcentral